AAUCCAUGGUGUGGGCACUUUUUUAGCAUCAACUUGAAAUGUUCUCAUGCCUCGUAAAAGGACUCACCUCCGUAUUGCUUAAAGUUGGUGAUUUCUCGCCUAAGCU
Non-coding RNA from Gossypium hirsutum (cotton), 106 nucleotides. NCBI's taxonomy places the organism in Eukaryota, Viridiplantae, Streptophyta, Magnoliopsida, Malvales, Malvaceae. The record is from Rfam.